UAGGGAAUCUUCGGCAAUGGACGAAAGUCUGACCGAGCAACGCCGCGUGAGUGAAGAAGGUUUUCGGAUCGUAAAACUCUGUUGUUAGAGAAGAACAAGGACGUUAGUAACUGAACGUCCCCUGACGGUAUCUAAUCAGAAAGCCACGGCUAACUACGUGCCAGCAGCCGCGGUAAUACGUAGGUGGCAAGCGUUGUCCGGAUUUAUUGGGCGUAAAGCGAGCGCAGGCGGUUUCUUAAGUCUGAUGGGAAAGCCCCCGGCUCAACCGGGGAGGGUCAUUGGAAACUGGGAAACUUGGGUGCAGAAGGGGGGAGUGGAAUUCCAUGGGGUGCGGUGAAAUGCAUAGAUAUAUGGAGGAACACCAGUGGCGAAGGAGGCUCUCUGGUCUGUAACUGACGCUGAGGCUCGAAAGCGUGGGGAGCAAACAGG
This 429-nucleotide ribosomal RNA is filed under the name Gemmatimonadota bacterium. RNAcentral describes it as "Gemmatimonadetes bacterium partial 16S ribosomal RNA". It matches the Rfam family "Bacterial small subunit ribosomal RNA", at positions 355 to 776 of the family's 1533-position model. Lineage: Bacteria; Pseudomonadati; Gemmatimonadota. The record is from RNAcentral.